UUCAAUUUUAUGCUUCCAACUGUAUCACGGAACAUUCGUUCGUAAAGAAAUAGGAUUUCGAUUAGAAGACGCGUAAUUAUGACAAUUCACCGUACCAUUCCCAUCCACUGCAACGCUACUGAAUUACUGUAAUUUAUUAUCACGUUGAUUCCUUUUGACGUAUCGCGGUAAUUCACUAAAACGAUUUCAACGAAUAUGUCUUCUACGUAUAAUUACGAAAGCAGGAGGACUGCUAAUGCUCAUGAACGACAAAGUACGCGCUUGUGAGUUACCUGUAAGCGCUGAGAAAUUUAAAGGCAGGAUUGCAAAGCAGGUCGACGUCGUUAGCGGGUUGAGCGGCAAUGUCGAGGCACACGCGAUGGAGAAGUGGCGCAAAAAUGGAAGCUCAGGGAGCGGCGCGUCCAAUCGAUUCAGGGGAAACACGUGAGCCAUCCUGGAGGAAACGCUUCGCUGGAGUAGAACGACCUGUGAAUAUUAAGGUGAUCCGUUCGGGGCUUCGAUCGUUCUUACUUUAUUAAUAUGCCG
RNAcentral lists this unclassified non-coding RNA (525 nucleotides) under Bombus terrestris (buff-tailed bumblebee). RNAcentral describes it as "misc RNA ENSBTSG00005022996.1". The record is from RNAcentral. Lineage: Eukaryota; Metazoa; Arthropoda; Insecta; Hymenoptera; Apidae.